RNAcentral lists this small RNA (702 nucleotides) under Rattus norvegicus (Norway rat). RNAcentral describes it as "uncharacterized LOC102554609". Lineage: Eukaryota; Metazoa; Chordata; Mammalia; Rodentia; Muridae. The record is from RNAcentral.
CCUGUGCACUUGAGGACCUGCAAUGAAACCAGAAGCCUACUCUAUCGUGGUAGCACAUGUAUAAUAAGCAGAGGCGUGCAGGAAAGAAAAAGAACACAACUGAGACAAAAUAGAGCUUCUAGGACUUUAGUCAAAGGCAGAAAGUGAUUUAACCUUGACAGUGAUGACGUCCUGAGCUGGUUCACUCUGCUGCCUCAUAGGCUGCUCGCAUCCUGGGUGUUACGAGCUGGGGACCGAACCAGGGCCUUGCGCUUCCUAGGAAUGAACACAGAGGGAGAUGACCUAACAAUGACGUGACAAUAAUAACAGCUGAUGGGACUGAACGCCAUGCGUACAUUAACCCUCUGCGCUUUCCAAUCGUUGUUAUUUUGAACUCGCUGUGCCUGAGUUGUGCCUGGGUUGAGGGUGUAGGGUGUAGCUUACGAGUGUCCACUUUGUCCUUGUUUGCUCUUGAGUGCUGUGAUAAAACACCACGACAGAAAGCAAUUUGGGGAGGAAAGGCUUAUUUGGCUCACCCACCUCAAUCACAGCUCAUCGCCGAGGGAAGACAGGACAGGAACUCCAGGCAGGAGGAGUCUGGAGACAGUAAGUGAUAGAGACCGUGGAGAAACAGUUCGAUAUUAAGGUUUCUUCUUCCCAGGUGACCCUAGUUCGUAUCAAACUGACAAAACAAACAAACAAAAUAAAUCUCUUCUCCUCAAA